RNAcentral lists this non-coding RNA (3246 nucleotides) under Homo sapiens (human). Lineage: Eukaryota; Metazoa; Chordata; Mammalia; Primates; Hominidae. The record is from RNAcentral.
AGAAGACGCUAGGUGGGCUGCGCGCUCUGCCAGGCGAAGGCUGGAGCGCAGACGGCAAAGCCGCGCGUUUCAGCCGUGGUCGGGUCCGCAGGACCUGGGCGUGGGGACACCACCAGGCAGGAGCAGAGGCAGGACUGGGACGCCAAAAGCUGAGAAUCCUCGAUGCCCGCGCGAGAGCCCCGUGUUAUGGCGAGGUGGGACAACCCUUAGGCUGGAGAUGCGCGAGGGAGGGAGGUCUGAGCGCUCCGAAGCUCCGGAGGCGGCUGCAGCUGGAUACACCUCACUGGGAUGCGCUUGUGGCAGAGCCUUAGUAGGGAAGGUGGUGGCGUUCUUGUCCUUGCAGCUCAGAGUUCAGUGUCUGGAGAGCGCAGAGAGAAAGAGCCCCAAGUCUCGAGGAAGCGUACCCCUCGCCAGAUCUCUUGGUGCACCUGCGCCCCUGUCCCUGGCCUUUUCGAGGAUGCCCCGAUAGCCUGCCGGGUGGCUCUGAGAAAGUCAAUUGCUUUCUGCAAUGCCAGAAGAGGUGGUUUUAUAUAGUCAGUUUGUAAAAGAGAAAAAUAGAUAUUCUAGCGCAUAUAGGGAGGCAAAAGAAAAAGCCCGCCUGUGAAGCUGUCAAGGUCCUCACAGUACAAUUUUCUCUCUGCCUCAGCGCCUCCUCCUCCCCUUUCUGGAGGCUGGGAAGUUCAAGACCAAUGCACGAGAAUUUGGUCUAAAGAGAAUCUUCUUGCUCUGAACACACAUAGUAGAAGGCAGAAGGGCAAGAGAGAGAACAAAGUCUGUGUCUCCACAUGGCAGAAGAGCAGAGGAGACAGAACCUACUCCUCUAUGGCAACCACCCCAUCAAUGACAAAAAUCCUAGAAGGAUGUAUGUAUAGGAAGUUGAAGUGUUGAGAAGAGAAUGGCUCAGAGUCAAGCGGGAACAAGAUUCAAACUUCAGAGAGAGAGGGAAGAAAAACAUUUAAAUAUAUCUGGCAUAAUCCAAGACUAUUUACGACAAGUGUUCUGUGUUUCUAAUAAUAAAACAGACUUCACCUCGGAGUACCUGCAGAACUGGGACCCCAAUGACCAGGGAGAAUGAAGAACAACUUGUUGAAGUUCUAUAUCUGGAUAAAGUGCGAAGGAGCUUAAAUCUGUUGAAACCCAAAAUUUGCCUCCGUUUAAUGGCUUAGGUGAGUCUGUCAUUAUAUAGAUGGAGCAUAUGUUACUCUCUUCAGUGUUUUCUUCACUGCCAAUCCUGUUUCAAAUUGUAUGAGUGAUCGAAAUUGAGCCCGCUGACAUUCUAAUCAAGAGAAAAGAAGUAUAUAUGGUGCCCAAUUACCUGAAUCAAAUUGAUUUACUCAUUUAUUCUUCCUUAUGUUUCAAAAAUAAAGAUGUCAUUAAUCCAGAUUUUAAAUAUCAGAAUGUAUUAUAUAACAUUUCAGUAGUAAACCAACAAAUAUCUGAGACAGGUCUCUACCAAGUUAGAGGUUUAUUUUGCCAAGGUUAAGGACCAUGGCCUGUGACACAGCCUCGGGAGGUCCUGAGAACAUGUGCCCAAGAUGAUACAGCCUCGGGAGGUUCUAAGAACAUGUGCCCAAGAUGGCUGGGAUACAGUUUGAUUUUAUACAUUUUAUGGAGACAGAAAUUACAGGCAAAACAUAAUACAUGUAAAGCAUAUAUUCAUUUGGCCCAGAAAGGUGGAACAUCUUGAAGCGGUGGCUUCCAGGUCAUAGAUGGAUUCAGAUUUCUGAUUGGCAGUUGGUUGAAGGAGUUAAGCUCUGUCUGAAGAGUUGAAGUCAGCUUGAGUUAAGGUAAGACUGGAAGAGAGUUGUGGAAGCCAAGGUUCUUAUCAUGUGAAGGAAGCCUCCAGGUAGCAGGCUUCAGAUAGAAUAGAGGGUGAAUGUCUCUUAUCUGACCUUAGAAGAUGUCAGACUCUUAUUGAAAUCUUUUAUGGAUCAGGAAAAGACCUGCAAAGGGAAGGGGAUUCUCUACAGAGUAUAAAAUUUCCCCACAAAAGAUGGCUUUGCAGGGCCAUUUCAAAAUAUGUCAGUGAAAUACACUUUGUUGUAAAAUACUUUGAUUUCCUUUAGGGCCUGUUAUCCAUCAAGAGUCGGGUUGGACUUGGCAUCUUAUUAAUACAACGAAUCUCUUCUGUCAGUCUUAGGAUCUCUCUUUUAAUGUUAAUAUUGUUCAGUUUUGUUGAAACUCCAAAAGAGAAAGGAUAUGAGGCAUGUUCAACACCACCUGUCUCAUUGUGGCCUGAAUUAAUUUUUCAGGUUUCUUAAGAAUCUCCUAGGCUGAGAGAUGGGUCCACUCAAUAAGAUGGAAGGGGGUAUAAUUUUAAUUUAGAUUCAUAAAUAAAAAGAAAAAUUAUUUUUCUACAUUCCUUUUUCUCUAAUAAUAUUUUUAUUUUGUUUUACCAUUUGAAAUUCUAUGGUCAAAAAUUUCGUAAACUAAAAUUUCUCCUGAGAUUCAUUUUAGAAGAAUUUUCUAGGCAAGUGUUUUUAGUCUCUAUCAAGAAUUUGUAGCUGUUUUUAUUAUUUAAGAAAACAAGCAAAUGAAAAUAUGUGAUCUUUAAGGGCCAAUAUAAUAUUUUAUUCUAUCAAUAGGCUUAUGCAGAACUGAUUUUGGUAAAGAUUACAGCAGGGUAUAGUUUUAGAAUUUCUGUCUCAAAUGCAAGUUGGAAUAACAUUCUAUAAUUUGCUUUUAACACACACACUUAAUGAAUGUAAAUAUGAAUCUCAACUAAUAAAAGAAUGAAAAGAACAUAUUUUUCUUAGAUGCUUUUCUUCAGAAACAUGAAAAACCCUCACACUAGUUUUUGGUCUGAAUUAGAGAUAGUCUAUUUAAUGUUGAUGCCACUGUGUGAACAUUUUAGAAUAAUUUAAUAUUAAUUGUUUUGCAGUUUCUUCUGUCUAAUGGUAACUGGAAUUUCCCUUUCUAAUUGUGUAUUGAAGAACGAGAACGACUCAUGUUUAAGUGUUAGAUGUAAGUCAUUUCAUAAUUACUCGUGCACUUCAAAAACAACAAAAAUAAAAUCAAAAUCAUAGAUUAUAUGGAAAGCUCAAUUCAAAAUUUGUAAAAUGUAGCAUUUUGUUGCAUUUUAUAGGAAAACAUAGGAUUGUAAUAACAUUAAAUUAUGUAUAUAUUUUUACUCUUCAUUAAAUGAAAUUUAGAGACAUCGUCAAUCAUUAAGUUGCAUUUAGUGAGGUGUUAACAGAAAUUAAUUCAUUGUAAACAUAAUAAUAAAAUGAAUGGAGCAGAAUUACC